CGAGUCUCUGUCAGGAGUGCUGGAUACUGUGCUGAUUCCCACCUCUGCCUUUGGACUGUCGCUCCUAUUUGUCAAGACAGCAAAAAGUUAUAAGCACGUCUACGCAUGUCUGGAGUAACUAAUGCAUCUCCAAAUCUGAGAUAAACCCCUUGGUGAUAGCCGAGGUACACGUCUGUGUCUGCAGUGCAUUGAAAGCAUUCUUGCUGCUGUACAAAGCAACCUGUAUUCUGCAGAUAGGAUAAACUGGAACACCCCCAUCUCACUAGGGUUCAGUCUUCUAUCAACCAAAGCGGGACAUCACUGCAGCUGGCCAUUGGCUGAGUAACAUUGUGAAGUGUUGACCCCCAGAAGCAGGCAGAAGAUCUCACGAAAAGACAGAGAUUACAGGGGCACCAGGGAGCCGCGGUAGAUAAUCAUGAAAUCUUGAAGCUUUUAUUCUGGCUACUAGGGCUAAAACCAAUGUAACCCCCUUGGAUUACGGACUGCUGUAUUAAUACCCUACAGUUAUAUGAAUUGUCCAGCAGAUUAUUAUUAUUUUUUUUUGCUGGUGAACUGGACAAGCAGAUGAACUGAGCAUCACUUGAACUGGGGGAAGGGCAAGUCAGGCCAUGUGCUGGUGUAUUGGUGAAGGGCUAGGAGCUGAAGGGAAAACAGCUCUGCAGAUUAACAAAUUCAAAGGAGUGCUGCAGUAUUUGAGGGAUAUCUGCUAGAAAUUCGUGGCACUCUGAACAUUCACAGACAAGAGAUGUUGAUUUCCAAUGACCGUAUGCUGAAAGUCUUCAUCUUAAAUCCAAAUACUACUAUGGAGCAGGAUUUUGUUAUGGGCCCUAUCUAUUUAAGAUGUAUCAAUUGAAGGUACCCAA
Hyla sarda is the source of this 863-nucleotide long non-coding RNA. RefSeq lists it as uncharacterized. NCBI's taxonomy places the organism in Eukaryota, Metazoa, Chordata, Amphibia, Anura, Hylidae. The transcript is spliced from 4 exons. The record is from RefSeq and is a predicted model, not a curated record.